UUUGUCACCGUUACUUUUGGUUGAGAGAAAAGGGUAUAUUAGCGCACGAGAAAGCAUAAGGCAAUACAGUUUCAACAGACCCGUUUGUGUGUGUGUGUGUUUAAAAUAUUUCUUGGGCCAAUCAAGUUCCUUUCUGGUAAAAUGUGUUUAACUAUUUCAUUGUCCUUUUUUAGGCACAGGAAAAUUACGUGUUGACCGCUUUAUAUCCACCACCAGCCAGUGAAAUUACAGAUCCACUGCGAGCUUUCGAGAGAAAACCAUUACUGGUUUAACAAACUUUGGGGCUCGAAUUCUUCAAUGUUAAAUGAUGGCGCACAAGCAGGUUGGGAUUUGAACCGGGGAACCUUCUCCCAAGACGUUAACCACUAGACCUCCCAUGAAACAGUCCUGUAGGAUUAAUUAUACUGAUGUUGUUUCUGAAUAUGGCAUAAAAAUUCUAAAAAUACUGCCCUGUGAUGUCAUAAAGAACAAGAGUUAUCAGACAAUUCUAAACAGACAUCUCUUGAUGACCCAGUUCCAGAAGAGGCAUUCGAGGUGGAGGGUCAAGAGAAACAAGCUGUUGCCUUCAAAAAUAAACCAAAAAAGAGUGUUUACGAUCUGGUAUGUUUGUUUCAGUAAGUUCACCAAUAAGGGCUGGUUCAUACUAAAGUUGUGAAAGGUGAGUAAAAGUUGUGCAUAGUAUGAAUCAGCCAUUAGUUUACCAUAACUUGUGCAAAAACAUUCAGGGAGUCUGAUAUCGAAGCUUUGUCUGAUAUUGGAAUCUAUCCUAUUUACAAAAGAUCUACAGGAUCAACAAUACAGUCCAAAAUACAGAUUUGGCACACAUCAGUUUUUCUUUUUCAAGUGAUGUAUAAUAUAUAACCUAGGAAGCUGGCUCUUUUGAACAACAACUUAUAUAAAUAUAUAAUAGCAAUUAAUUUACAGCAGAACUGGCUGAAGGCACAGGUGUCGUUGUCAAUCAAAUCAACAGUACAAAGGUAACUCUUGAA
This is a long non-coding RNA of Polyodon spathula (Mississippi paddlefish), 989 nucleotides long. RefSeq lists it as uncharacterized. The record is from RefSeq and is a predicted model, not a curated record. Lineage: Eukaryota; Metazoa; Chordata; Actinopteri; Acipenseriformes; Polyodontidae. The transcript is spliced from 3 exons.